GUCCUGGUGGAGCACGGAAGCUCACCCCCACCGAAUGUAAAGAAGGGUCUCUUGGAAUGUCAGGGGAGACGGUGGUUCGAAUCCACCCCAGGACU
Mycena polygramma is the source of this 95-nucleotide non-coding RNA. NCBI's taxonomy places the organism in Eukaryota, Fungi, Basidiomycota, Agaricomycetes, Agaricales, Mycenaceae. The record is from the annotation of a GenBank genome assembly.